UUAAAUUGAAGAGUUUGAUCAUGGCUCAGAUUGAACGCUGGCGGUAGGCCUAACACAUGCAAGUCGAACGGUAACAGGAAGCAGCUUGCUG
This 91-nucleotide ribosomal RNA is filed under the name Escherichia coli. Its description in RNAcentral is "partial 16S ribosomal RNA". It matches the Rfam family "Bacterial small subunit ribosomal RNA", at positions 1 to 85 of the family's 1533-position model. Lineage: Bacteria; Pseudomonadati; Pseudomonadota; Gammaproteobacteria; Enterobacterales; Enterobacteriaceae. The record is from RNAcentral.